Molecule: ribosomal RNA, 245 nt
Filed under: uncultured bacterium
Lineage: Bacteria
Description: partial 16S ribosomal RNA
Rfam family: Bacterial small subunit ribosomal RNA
Source: RNAcentral
AACGUAGGAGGCGAGCGUUAUCCGGAUUCACUGGGCGUAAAGCGCAUGUAGGUGGUUCGUUAAGUAGGUGGUGAAAGCCCCUGGCUCAACUGGGGGAGGUCCACCUAAACUGGCGGACUGGAGGUCCAGAGAGGAGAGUGGAAUUCCCGGUGUAGCGGUGGAAUGCGUAGAGAUCGGGAGGAACACCAGUGGCGAAGGCGGCUCUCUGGCUGGAUUCUGACACUGAGAUGCGAAAGCGUGGGGAG